UACAGGGGGUGCAAACGUUGCUCGGAAUUAUUGGGCGUAAAGCGCACGUAGGCGGUCUGUUAUGUCGGAUGUGAAAGCCCUUGGCUUAACUAAGGAAGUGCAUCCGAAACUGGCAGGCUAGAGUACUAAAGAGGGUCGCGGAAUUCCCGGUGUAGAGGUGAAAUUCGUAGAUAUCCGGAGGAACACCAGUGGCGAAGGCGGCUUCCUGGACCGGCACUGACGCUGAGGCGCGAAAGCUAGGGGAGCAAACGGG
Molecule: ribosomal RNA, 253 nt
Filed under: uncultured bacterium
Lineage: Bacteria
Description: partial 16S ribosomal RNA
Rfam family: Bacterial small subunit ribosomal RNA
Source: RNAcentral